CAUUAAAUCAGUUAUCGUUUAUUUGAUAGUACCUUACUACUUGGAUAACCGUGGUAAUUCUAGAGCUAAUACAUGCUAAAAACCUCGACUUCGGAAGGGGUGUAUUUAUUAGAUAAAAAACCAAUGCCCUUCGGGGCUCCUUGGUGAUUCAUAAUAACUUAACGAAUCGCAUGGCCUUGUGCCGGCGAUGGUUCAUUCAAAUUUCUGCCCUAUCAACUUUCGAUGGUAGGAUAGUGGCCUACCAUGGUUUCAACGGGUAACGGGGAAUUAGGGUUCUAUUCCGGAGAGGGAGCCUGAGAAACGGCUACCACAUCCAAGGAAGGCAGCAGGCGCGCAAAUUACCCAAUCCCGACACGGGGAGGUAGUGACAAUAAAUACUGAUACAGGGCUCUUUUGGGUCUUGUAAUUGGAAUGAGUACAAUUUAAAUCCCUUAACGAGGAACAAUUGGAGGGCAAGUCUGGUGCCAGCAGCCGCGGUAAUUCCAGCUCCAAUAGCGUAUAUUAAAGUUGUUGCAGUUAAAAAGCUCGUAGUUGAACCUUGGGCCUGGCUGGCCGGUCCGCCUCACCGCGUGCACUGGUCCGGCCGGGUCUUUCCUUCUGGGGAGCCGCAUGCCCUUCACUGGGUGUGUCGGGGAACCAGGACUUUUACUUUGAAAAAAUUAGAGUGUUCAAAGCAGGCCUAUGCUCGAAUACAUUAGCAUGGAAUAAUAGAAUAGGACGUGUGGUUCUAUUUUGUUGGUUUCUAGGACCGCCGUAAUGAUUAAUAGGGAUAGUCGGGGGCAUCAGUAUUCAAUUGUCAGAGGUGAAAUUCUUGGAUUUAUUGAAGACUAACUACUGCGAAAGCAUUUGCCAAGGAUGUUUUCAUUAAUCAGUGAACGAAAGUUAGGGGAUCGAAGACGAUCAGAUACCGUCGUAGUCUUAACCAUAAACUAUGCCGACUAGGGAUCGGGCGAUGUUAUCUUUUUGA
This 967-nucleotide ribosomal RNA is filed under the name Darkera picea. Its description in RNAcentral is "SSU rRNA". It matches the Rfam family "Eukaryotic small subunit ribosomal RNA", at positions 99 to 1074 of the family's 1831-position model. The record is from RNAcentral. Lineage: Eukaryota; Fungi; Ascomycota; Leotiomycetes; Phacidiales; Phacidiaceae.